UCUGUCUCAGUCCUGGGCAGGACAUGAACCGUUCCUUUUGUCCAGCAUAUUCAUGCUGUGUACACUACCUGCCUCAGUUGUCAGAUUGACUAUGGCAGUAUUGCAGUGCUGUAUUCAUUACCCCUAAUAUAGAAGUUCAAUUCUACAUUACAGUACUUGUUCAGUUUUCUCCAUGUCAUCAUGUAGACACUGUAUCAUCAUGUCUCAUCAUAAGGGAUUUAUUGAGCUCUGGCAAUUUGCACUAGUGACUUGCCCUUUGGAGAGGGGUGGCCACAAGUCCUCCGCAGAUGGUCUCACUGUGCACAAGAGGACCAGCAAGGUUUACAGAGGAUCUGAAAUGCUCAGGUAAAAGGCACCAGAGAAGUAUAAGGUCAGACUCCUCCGUGAUCCAAACCUGCAUGCCUAACUGUACCUGGACAUCUCCACAUGGCUGUGUCAUCAGCAUCUCACAGUCAACGUGUUCAGAAUCGCACUGAUGUUCUCCAAGCCCAGAUUUGCUCUCCCUGCUCAAGCUUCAGACUUCACGACAGGCUCCAUUCCCUGCCCAUUCAGAAACCUGGAAGAUUCCAUGGAUUCUUCCUUUUUAUUUGCAUCCACACUCCAUUGAAGUUUAAGCCCUGCCCACUCCUUGUUUCUGAUGUCUCAUGAGCCCAUUCUAUUCUGUGUUCUCUAUCCAAAGUCAUUGUCUUGUUAGAGUCACAUUUCUUGGCCCGGUCCAAGGGAAUGGUUUUCUAAAUAGGCUCAAUGCCUCGUCUUUUUCUUUUAAGAUCAUUGUAUGGCAGUGUCUGAUGUUCUGUCUCAAAAUCCAUUAGUAACUUUCUGUUAAAUUUAGGAUAAAAUACAAAGCUCUUUACCCUCUGGUGUUUACCUUUCCUUCCAUCUUGAUCUCUAGUCUGUGCCCACACACGGAAAUGCUUGUUGUUCUUUUGAUAGGCUGUGUUCUCAAGCUACUUUUCUUUUAAGACACUUUUUAUUCAUUCAAAAGAUGUGUAUUGAACACUUAUUAAAAGCCUGCAUGCUAUACCAUGUUUCUACUCUCAUGGCCGUACAUUCUAGCCAGGGAGACAGAAAGUAAACAUGUGGACAUAGAGGAUCAUAUAUGUAAUGAUAUAUGUCAUCAAGAAAACAAGUGGACAAUAAAACAUCAAGAAUCUGGA
This 1157-nucleotide long non-coding RNA is filed under the name Heterocephalus glaber (naked mole-rat). RNAcentral's name for it is "lncRNA (ENSHGLG00000040319.1)". Lineage: Eukaryota; Metazoa; Chordata; Mammalia; Rodentia; Bathyergidae. The record is from RNAcentral.